Molecule: long non-coding RNA, 630 nt
Filed under: Capsella rubella
Lineage: Eukaryota; Viridiplantae; Streptophyta; Magnoliopsida; Brassicales; Brassicaceae
Description: long non-coding RNA (CRUB_LNC003577)
Source: RNAcentral
UUUUAGACUAAAUUUUUUUAUAAUACAUACGAGUCAUAUAAUACUAUGACAGAGGUACUUUGAGGAGAUAAUAUAUUUUGUAACUUUGUUGUAUACACUUGAAAGAAAGAAGAAGAAAAAGAAUUUUAUUUUUAUUUUUUUUGGUUGGGUUGCCUAAAUGGAUGGGGUAUUUUUUUUGUAUUUCACGUGAGAGAGAGAGGGGGAAAACGAAAAGAAACAAGAGUGGGCUUUUAAAAAUGGGCCCACAGUGUGGCAGUAGCAGGCUGAGAGAUUGAUAGAAUUAAUGGGUCCCCACUAAAACGGCAAUCCGAUGGAUCCCAAAAAACAUAUUUUCCAAAGAAAAUGGAGAAAAUGAGAGAGAGAGAGAGAGAGAGAUCUUCGUUAGUGUUUAUCCGAAAAUCCCUUUCACAGUUCAACUCACGCUUUUGGAUUUUAUCUCUCUUUCAUUUUUUUUUUUUUUUUUUGGACAAUGUCUUUCAUUUCUUUGUUUUUCCUUUUUUUUCAUUGUAAAAUUUUAGUUUUUAGAAAAAUAGUAAAAAAAAAAAAAAAAGAAUGGUAAAUUUUAUUAAUAUUUGCUUCUGGGCCACAAGAAGGAUGAAAACAAUAUGCUAUAGUCGGCAAUGGUCCUAC